This 68-nucleotide transfer RNA is filed under the name Marmota monax (woodchuck). Its description in RNAcentral is "tRNA.Ser". The stretch from base 3 to 63 matches the Rfam family "tRNA", at positions 6 to 65 of the family's 71-position model. Rfam says of the family: Transfer RNA (tRNA) molecules are approximately 80 nucleotides in length. Their secondary structure includes four short double-helical elements and three loops (D, anti-codon, and T loops). Further hydrogen bonds mediate the characteristic L-shaped molecular structure. tRNAs have two regions of fundamental functional importance: the anti-codon, which is responsible for specific mRNA codon recognition, and the 3' end, to which the tRNAs corresponding amino acid is attached (by aminoacyl-tRNA synthetases). tRNAs cope with the degeneracy of the genetic code in two manners: having more than one tRNA (with a specific anti-codon) for a particular amino acid; and 'wobble' base-pairing, i.e. permitting non-standard base-pairing at the 3rd anti-codon position. The record is from RNAcentral. Lineage: Eukaryota; Metazoa; Chordata; Mammalia; Rodentia; Sciuridae.
GUUGUAGCUCAGUGGCAGAGCACUUGCCUUGAAUGCAUGAAGCCCUGGGUUCAAUCCCCAGCAUCACA